GACGAACGCUGGCGGCGUGCCUAAUACAUGCAAGUAGAACGCACAGUUUAUAUCGUAGCUUGCUACACCAUAGACUGUGAGUUGCGAAUGGGUGAGUAACGCGUAGGUAACCUGCCUGGGAGCGGGGGAUAACUAUUGUAAACGAAAGCUAUUACCGCAUAAUAUUAAUUAUUGCAGGAUAAUUGAUUGAAAGGUGCAAUUGCACCACUACCAGAUGGACCUGCGUUGUAUUAGCUAGUAGGUGAGGUAACGGCUCACCUAGGCGACGAUACAUAGCCGACCUGAGAGGGUGAUCGGCCACACUGGGACUGAGACACGGCCCAGACUCCUACGGGAGGCAGCAGUAGGGAAUCUUCGGCAAUGGACGAAAGUCUGACCGAGCAACGCCGCGUGAGUGAAGAAGGUUUUCGGAUCGUAAAGCUCUGUUGUAAGAGAAGAACGGGUGUGAGAGUGGAAAGCUCACACUGUGACGGUAACUUACCAGAAAGGGACGGCUAACUACGUG
Molecule: ribosomal RNA, 505 nt
Filed under: uncultured bacterium
Lineage: Bacteria
Description: partial 16S ribosomal RNA
Rfam family: Bacterial small subunit ribosomal RNA
Source: RNAcentral